This 101-nucleotide non-coding RNA is filed under the name human gut metagenome. Its description in RNAcentral is "Moco (molybdenum cofactor) riboswitch". It matches the Rfam family "Molybdenum/Tungsten riboswitch aptamer (Moco RNA motif)", at positions 11 to 121 of the family's 135-position model. The record is from RNAcentral.
AUAGAAUUCUCCGAGCCUGCCCGCCUACGGCAAACGCUAUGGCGGCCGGGCCAGGGUCCCGCUGGAAACGGCCGGGCCUUCCAUGCUUGAAAAGGAGAGGA